This 73-nucleotide transfer RNA is filed under the name Rickettsia sp. It matches the Rfam family "tRNA". From Rfam's summary of the family: Transfer RNA (tRNA) molecules are approximately 80 nucleotides in length. Their secondary structure includes four short double-helical elements and three loops (D, anti-codon, and T loops). Further hydrogen bonds mediate the characteristic L-shaped molecular structure. tRNAs have two regions of fundamental functional importance: the anti-codon, which is responsible for specific mRNA codon recognition, and the 3' end, to which the tRNAs corresponding amino acid is attached (by aminoacyl-tRNA synthetases). tRNAs cope with the degeneracy of the genetic code in two manners: having more than one tRNA (with a specific anti-codon) for a particular amino acid; and 'wobble' base-pairing, i.e. permitting non-standard base-pairing at the 3rd anti-codon position. Lineage: Bacteria; Pseudomonadati; Pseudomonadota; Alphaproteobacteria; Rickettsiales; Rickettsiaceae. The record is from Rfam by way of RNAcentral.
GCGAAUGUAAUUCAGUUGGUUAGAAAUUCAGACUGUGACUCUGGAAGCGCCGGUUCAAGUCCGGUCGUUCGCC